GCGCCAGUAGCUCAGUCGGAUAGAGCAACGGCCUUCUAAGCCGUGGGUCAGGGGUUCGAGUCCCUUCUGGCGCGCCA
RNAcentral lists this transfer RNA (77 nucleotides) under Deltaproteobacteria bacterium. RNAcentral describes it as "tRNA-Arg". It matches the Rfam family "tRNA". Rfam says of the family: Transfer RNA (tRNA) molecules are approximately 80 nucleotides in length. Their secondary structure includes four short double-helical elements and three loops (D, anti-codon, and T loops). Further hydrogen bonds mediate the characteristic L-shaped molecular structure. tRNAs have two regions of fundamental functional importance: the anti-codon, which is responsible for specific mRNA codon recognition, and the 3' end, to which the tRNAs corresponding amino acid is attached (by aminoacyl-tRNA synthetases). tRNAs cope with the degeneracy of the genetic code in two manners: having more than one tRNA (with a specific anti-codon) for a particular amino acid; and 'wobble' base-pairing, i.e. permitting non-standard base-pairing at the 3rd anti-codon position. Lineage: Bacteria; Pseudomonadati; Myxococcota; Myxococcia. RNAcentral also lists the same sequence under 1 other name. The record is from RNAcentral.